RNAcentral lists this ribosomal RNA (459 nucleotides) under uncultured bacterium. Its description in RNAcentral is "partial 16S ribosomal RNA". It matches the Rfam family "Bacterial small subunit ribosomal RNA", at positions 355 to 823 of the family's 1533-position model. The record is from RNAcentral.
UGGGGAAUAUUGCACAAUGGGCGCAAGCCUGAUGCAGCAACGCCGCGUGAGGGAUGACGGCCUUCGGGUUGUAAACCUCUUUUAGUAGGGAAGAAGCGAAAGUGACGGUACCUGCAGAAAAAAGCACCGGCUAACUACGUGCCAGCAGCCGCGGUAAUACGUAGGGUGCGAGCGUUGUCCGGAAUUAUUGGGCGUAAAGAGCUCGUAGGCGGUCUGUCGCGUCUGCUGUGAAAAACCCGAGGCUCAACCUCGGGCCUGCAGUGGGUACGGGCAGACUAGAGUGCGGUAGGGGAGAAUGGAAUUCCUGGUGUAGCGGUGGAAUGCGCAGAUAUCAGGAGGAACACCGAUGGGCGAAGGCAGUUCUCUGGGCCGUAACUGACGCUGAGGAGCGAAAGCGUGGGGAGCGAACAGGAUUAGAUACCCUGGUAGUCCACGCCGUAAACGUUGGGCGCUAGAUGU